AUUUACACAGAUUCUUCUUUGACAAAGAUUUUGAUGGGUCGUCGAUACAUAAGAAAGGAGGAAAACGUAAAUUAUAGUCAACGUUCCCAUGAGAGUGCGUGUAUUCUGCUUACAAAACGACCGAACCCUGUUAGCUCGUAUCUUUCAAGCAGCGUAUCUCGUUUCGCAUCGAACGAUUGCUUCCCGAUACUCUAUUUCUGAUUAACAACGAACCAAAAGCAACGUGAACACGAUUGCGUGCUGUGAACAUGACUGAAAGACGAUAUUUACCGUUUUAGUUGCAUCGUCUUAAGCUUUUCCCUCUGCUUUGAGAAAACAUGGCCGAAACUUCAACGGAAGAUUCACUUGUCGUUGGUUUAAUUAACUGAGAGAUAAAUGUGGGGGAAAACAGAAUACUCUUCUAAAGGGAAAAGGAUAAAACAAAUGGAAGGAAGCUGGUUUAAAGGUACAGAAAUUUCGACAAUGAUAUUUUUACCUCUUGGUUUAAUCCACUGUUAAAACUUUCAUGGAGAAGCAGCAACGACGAAGGAAAAGAAAAAAAAAAAAAA
This is a long non-coding RNA of Eufriesea mexicana, 548 nucleotides long. RefSeq lists it as uncharacterized. The record is from RefSeq and is a predicted model, not a curated record. Lineage: Eukaryota; Metazoa; Arthropoda; Insecta; Hymenoptera; Apidae. The transcript has 4 exons.